This 1517-nucleotide long non-coding RNA is filed under the name Macaca mulatta (Rhesus monkey). RNAcentral describes it as "lncRNA (ENSMMUG00000055603.1)". The record is from RNAcentral. Lineage: Eukaryota; Metazoa; Chordata; Mammalia; Primates; Cercopithecidae.
AUGGUCUUCAUCUUGAAGAGGGGAUUGGCCAACAACCACAGCAUCCACUACAGUCCAUUCCUUGCAGUGCUGGGCAGUGUACAACUUUUAUGGACAUUUCACCCCAUCUGGGAACAGCUUUCUCAGGAUUCUGGUCUUCUGGUGGAGCAAGAGGACACCCACGGUGGAAGCCAAGAGAGUCAUCUUAAUGAAUGGCAUAUUACAGCCCUUGUGAAUGGAACUUGCAUUGUUUCAUAGCACAGCUGGCCAAAUUCUUGUGAUUGACGGGUCAAGUUAAAUCAGGCAUAAAAAUGAUGUAGAGUUUUUUCUUUCAGGAAACCUGUCACAAAAGCACUCUUGUCCCAACCAAGGCUCGCUUUCUGUAUGUACUCUUACAGAAAAGUUAAAUAUAUAUGAACAUGGAGCAUAUCCUGUGUAGGAGGACUCUGGAACAAAACUGAGUCAGACUUACAAAGUAAAGAGCUGUCCCAUGCCUUUACUUGUAACCAUUCAUGCGGUCUGUGUGCACAGACCCCUGAAUGUAAAACCUGGGUCAACGCCUCCAGCUGUGGCCUCUCCUCUGACAACCAUCUUAUUAAAUGCAGGAUUCAGGAACCUGGUGGAACUCGGCCACAACUGCAAAAAACAUAUUUCAGUCCCGAAGUGUCAGAGUCGGGGGGCAGAAGGGGGAGGAUGAACCAAACGCUAAAGCAAAUGAAAACAUCUUUUAAAAUGUUGCCUGUGUGCUGCCAAAUGGGAGCUCAGAGGGAGUGCCACCAGGAGCAGUUCCACAUGGCGAGGCGAGGCCUUCCGUGGAGAAGCCUGGCUGGCAGGCUGGGAGGAUUCAGUAAUUAACACUGUCAAAGUCUCAUGAGGCCCCAUUUCAGCAGCUCGAUUUGGAAGCGGUUGCCCGAGUACAGUCACCCUUCAGCAGCACAGCUGGGGUGUGGAGUCCAUCAGCAGCUGGUACAUGUGUGGCUUAAAUUUGCUGGGAAGUAGAAGGAAAUCUGUGGGGUUUCUUUUGGGUGCUUUAACCCCAUGGGGACGAGGGCUCACAGUAUCUGAGUUUUGAAUAGCCAAUUAAAUGAGGGGCUUUAAGAAUGCUGGAGCAGCCCACUGCUGGAAAUAAUAGCACUGAGAUGGCUCCAUGACAAGAUCAGAGCCAGAGAGCCACACAAGGAUACCUCAGGCUAUAGCCCUGUACAUAUGGAACAGGCUAUUGUGGGCUAACGAAACAUUGGGAAGGAUAGAUACAGUUACAACCUAUGAAAUAGACUCUGAAACAGGGUAUGGUAAGGAAGACUGAUAGCCAUCUCUUGAAGAAAAAAAUUAGUGAGUAGGAGCUGUGCUGUAAUGGAAGAAAUGUCAACUGGGUGUGGGUUUACGGGUUCAAUUCCCAAGACCGGCACUCUUAGCACUGUGAAGUUAGACAAGUUACUCAACCUUUCUCAACUCAUUUCUUUAUAUACAUGAAAUUAGGAUUAUGAAAGCUCAUAUAGAAUGUUUUUAUCAUGAAUAUAUAUGUAAACAGACACUAG